Molecule: ribosomal RNA, 172 nt
Filed under: uncultured bacterium
Lineage: Bacteria
Description: partial 16S ribosomal RNA
Rfam family: Bacterial small subunit ribosomal RNA
Source: RNAcentral
ACUCCUACGGGAGGCAGCAGUGGGGGAUAUUGCACAAUGGAGGAAACUCUGAUGCAGCAACGCCGCGUGAGGGAAGAAGGUUUUCGGAUUGUAAACCUCUGUCCUUGGUGAAGAUAAUGACGGUAGCCAAGGAGGAAGCUCCGGCUAACUACGUGCCAGCAGCCGCGGUAAU